ACCCAGAGAAUUGUCCGCUCGUCUUGGCUUAAUUAAGUGGAGAAUACAUGAGAGAGAGAGAGAGAGAGAGAGAGAGAGAUAGGCGGAGGGAGGGAGGGAGAGGGAUAGAUAGAUGGGUAGAUAGAUAGAUAGAUAGAGAGAGAGAGAUGGUCCAAUCUCUAUGUCAGAGGUGGUCUAGUGCAUGACGCAUUCAUAGGAGAUACAAGUGGUGUCGCAGCAUUGUCCAGUCUUGGUGUGUGAUGCCUUUCGAUGAUGUGGGCGGGUAGAGUGUCAUGGCUUGAUCUCGGCUGGCCAAUGCCAUUCAACUUCACUAGUGGUGCUUUUGUUUGUGUCAUGUUGUAUCCCCCCCCUUGUUCUCCCUGUGAGUUGGGUUGUUGGUGCAUGUUGUUUUUGUUCUAUCUCUUCUCCUCUUGUGCCCCCUGUAUCUCUGGUUCACUUGGACCCAUCUUGCCACGGGCUGCAAAUCCCUAUAGGCAAAAAUGAAUACAAAUUCAGGUAGUGGAGGGCCCCCCUCCUCCCCCGAUGAAUAUUCAAACAGAAAAUUGAUGUAGCCCUACAGGGAUAGAGCAUUUCUUCUGAUGAGUGAACCCGACCCGGUGUGCGGAUUAAAGGUUUGAUGUAAUAGUGUAAUAUAUCAUGACAAGUGAGUGCUUACAGGUGGACCACAUCUGUCCUACACAUAUAUUCCAGUUUAACCAAGUGCAUAAUUAGUAUUUGUUGGAAAAAGUAGUCGCAAUACCAAUAGGUAUUAAUGAAAAGUUUUGAACUAGUGUUUUCUUAAUCCUAAAUGUAAUUAUGGUUUCUUAUUUGUAUUUACUCUAGUGAAACCAGUGGCUUGAAAGGUCAUAUAAAAAGUAAACUAGAUGGGGCGAGGAACAUGCCUGGAAUGGGAAAAGACGUGAAUGACCUGUGCGUAAGAAUCAAUGAUACGGAAGCACCCAGCUGAAGACACAUUGGUGGGGUAUUCCUCAAGAUUGCCUUGGGCAGCUUGGGGCAUGCGACCCAUGGGACACAGAUUGUACAUGAGGGACUCUAGGUGGGAGGAGAUGAUCUGACAAGCAUGAUGUCCAUAAGUAGGGAAGGGGUGCCAUGCAGGUCAGAGCACUGGGCGACCAACAAAAUGUUGGUGUUUAUCCCCGUUGAGCAGUUCUACUUGCACGCCUUCAGAAGGUAUGCUUCUUGGUGCUAAGUUUGGACCACCAUGGACAGAAGAACAUUUGCUGACUUACUCCGCACUGCCAACAUGUUGCCAUCUUGCCCCUGGUUCGUGAGACAUCACAAAGUCAGGUUCAAUGACGUCACUAAUCAUUCAUGUUUUGUAGCACGCAAAACAUGUCUAAAGCUGUUAUGUGGCAUUUUACGAUUCUGUGAUUAUUGAGUUCCCGAAAUCUCUCAAUCUUACAACUUGGUAACAUCUUAGCAUUGUCGGAAUAAUGAUUGAAACAUGGUGAUGCAUUUGGAUCUCUCUUUCUUUCAUUGAUUCAUCUCUCGUGAUCGACUCACUCUGGUCUGGGUGUUAAUGAUUAAUCCACGUGUUAUAUUGUUGGUGGGUUGGGUGUGAAUAUAUAAUAUCUUACAAAAUAAAUGCAGAUGAAUGCUAAGCUCAAAAUAUGUUGAUGUGCUUUGAAAGGACUUACAUAUGCGUACUCAAUUGGUGGGCUGGGUGUGAAUUUUAAUGUUUUGUUGUCUUUUAUGCUAUGUACCAUACCAUAGCACUAGUGGAGAAGGGGGCUUUAAUCCCGGUUGGCAACAACCUUUAGGUUCGGGUCACCAACCGUGACUAAAAGGUCUGGACUAAAGGCCCCCACCCUUUAGACCCGGUUGGCCACAACACGGGACUAAAGUCCCUCCAUGUGGCCAGAGCAUGCGUUGGGGGCUAUAGGUUUCACGUAUUCACCGUGGACAUGUAGUCCAAAACCUGUUAGUUUGAUCUAUUUGCAAAGCACAAGAAAGCUAUUAUCUGAAACAUAUCACCGAUGGAGUUUGUUGAACAUAGAAAUACUAGUUGGAUCUGUGAGCCGAGAUCAAAUUAUUUUCAUAUUCUUUCUGUAGAGCCUAACAUGUUGAAGGUGUGAAAAUCCAUGGCAAAUUGAGUUAACAAUGUCGUCAUAGAUCAAGGUUGCAAGUUUCUAAAUUACAGCCUAAUUACAUAAAUAUUUUAUUACUGUUGUCAUGACCACCAUCAACCACAUUAAACAUCAUGUGGUUUCCAGAAUUUCAUGCGCGGGGCACAGUAAGGUGAAGCUACCAAGGUGACAUGAGCAUCACCAUGGUCCCGUUGUAUAGCGCUCGCAGAGGAAGUGGGACGUUCAUACUUGGACGAUUUAACACAAAGCUUAUACAUUUAGCCUAAAAUAUAGAGGGAUGGAUAUCGGUAUUAGAGUUAGAGAGUUAUAUUUGUAUAUUUUUUUGCAAUAAUGCUCUAAUUGUAGUUUUGGCCCUGUUGAGAAGAAACUCCAUCUACAUCUCCACCUUGUUUGUUCUCAUACAGUACAAUUAAGUUGAUCUAUAAAUCUAGUUUCCUUAACUACGAAUAAUUCGUGGAGAUUAUUGAAUGCCAAGCCUAGUACCUGAAUCAUUAUAGCCUCCAGCGUAACCAAACAUCAUAGGAAUAGGUAAGGUACUUAGUAGGCGACACUAUAGAUAUUGCUUUGUGUUAGGCCCAUCUAUGUUCAUUUUUGUAGUUCAUGCAGUAAAGUGUGCAUGACCACCUAGUUUAUGUACAAAUGACGCAUUUCACUCCAUCCUAGAAGAUGAAUUUUGCCAUAUUUAAUUAUGUUUUGAGAACUUUAAAUCUAAUUUAAGAAUCCAAACAAGGUUUAAGUUUCAUGGGGGUGUCCUUCUGACCUUUUCUUUCACCAAAGGCCCAAACUACGCAUGGAAUUGAGACUACCGUUGUUCUUGAAGGGGUAUCCCUCAAGAUUGCCUUGGGCAGCUUGAGGCGUGUCUGACACAUGGGACACAGGUUGUACAUGACGAACUCUAGGUGGGAGGAGCUGAUUUGACAAGCUUGAUGACCAACAAUUUGGAAGGUGUGUCAUGCAGGUUAGAGCACUGCGCGAGCAACACAAUGUUGGUGUUUUUCGCCCUUGAGAAGUUCUACUUGAACGCCUUCAGAAAGUCUGCUUCUUGGUGCAGAGUUUGGAGCACCAUGCAUGGAUAGAAGAACAUUUGCUGACUCACGACGCACCGCCGCCAUGUUGCCAUCUUGCCCCUGGUUGGCGAGACAUCACAAAGUCAGGUUCAAUGACUUCACUGAUCAUUUAUGUUUUAUAGCAUGCAAAACAUGUCUAAAGCUGUUAUGUGUCAUUUUCCGACGGUGUGGUUAUUGAGUUCCCGAAAUCUCUCAAUCUUACAACUUGGUAACAUAUUAGCCUUUGUCGAAAUAAUGAUUGAAACAUGGCGAUACAUUUGGAGCUCUCUUUCUUUCAUUGAUUCAUCUCUCGCGAUCGACUCACUCUGGUCUAUGCUAAUCCACUUUGUUAUGUUGUUGGUGGGUUGGGUGUGAAUAUAUAAUGUCUUACAAAAUAUAUGCAGAUGAAUACUAAAGCUCAAAAUAUGUUCAUGUACUGUAAAAGGAUUUACAUAUGAUUACUCAAUUGGUGGGUUGGGUGUGAAUUUUAAUGUUUUGUUAUCAUUUACGGUAUGUACCAUACCAUAGCACUAGUGAAGAACGGACUUUAGUCCCGGUUGGCAACAACCUUUAGUGCCGGGUCGCCAACCGUGGCUAAAAGGUGGGGACUAAAGCCCCCCACCUUUUAGUCCCUGUUGUCCACAACACGGAACUAAAAUCCCUCCAUGUGGUCGGAGCGUGCGUUGGGGGCUAUAGGUUUCACAUAUUCACCAUAGACAUGUGGUCCAACACAUGUUAGUUUGAUAUAUUAUCUGAAACAUGUCAUCGACGGAGUUUAUUGAACACAGAAAUACUAUUCGUAUCUGUUAGUCAAGAUCAAAUUAUUUUCAUGUUCUUUCUAUAGAGUCUAACAUGUUCGAGGUGUAAAAAUCCAUGGCAAAUCGAGUUAACAAUGUCAUUAUAGAUCAACGUUGCAAGUUUCUAAAUUACGUCCUAAUUACAUAAAUAUGUUAUUACUGUUGUCAUGACCACCAUCAACCACAUUAAACAUCAUGUGGUUACCAGAAUUUUAUGCGCGGGGCACAGUAAGGUGAAGCUACAAGGUGACACGAGCAUCACCAUGGUCCUGUUGUAUAGCGCCCGCACAGGAAGCGGGACGCUCAUACUUGGUCGAUUUAACACAAAGCUUAUAUAUUCAGCCUAAAAUUUUGAGGGAUGGAUCACGGUAUUAGAGUUAGAGAGUUAUAAUUGUAUUUUUUUACAAUAAUGCUCUAAUUGUAGUUUUGCUCCUGUUGAGAAGGAACUCCAUCUACAUCUCCACCUUGUUUGUUCUCAUAGAGUAGAAUUAAGUUGAUCUAUAAAUCUAGUUGCCUUAAUUACGGAUAAUUUGUGGAUUGUUGAAUACCAAGCCUAGUACCUCAAUCAUUAUAGCCUCCAGCUAACCAAAAAUCAUCGGAAUAGGUAAGGUACUUAGAGCAUCUCUGGCAGACCCCGUAUAAGUGGUCAAAUCCGUAAAAAAUUGCGUUUUACAAUUUUGGUCGUAAAAAGUCUACAUAACAGAAACCGUAAAAAUGGUC
RNAcentral lists this long non-coding RNA (4650 nucleotides) under Hordeum vulgare. RNAcentral describes it as "long non-coding RNA (HVUL_LNC017583)". The record is from RNAcentral. Lineage: Eukaryota; Viridiplantae; Streptophyta; Magnoliopsida; Poales; Poaceae.